AAAUUGAAGAGUUUGAUCAUGGCUCAGAUUGAACGCUGGCGGCAGGCCUAACACAUGCAAGUCGAACGGUAACAGGAAGAAGCUUGCUUCUUUGCUGACGAGUGGCGGACGGGUGAGUAAUGUCUGGGAAACUGCCUGAUGGAGGGGGGAUAACUACUGGAAACGGUAGCUAAUACCGCAUAACGUCGCAAGACCAAAGAGGGGGGACCUUCGGGCCUCUUGCCAUCGGAUGUGCCCAGAUGGGAUUAGCUAGUAGGUGGGGGUAACGGCUCACCUAGGCGACGAUCCCUAGCUGGUCUGAGAGGAUGACCAGCCACACUGGAACUGAGACACGGUCCAGACUCCUACGGGAGGCAGCAGUGGGGAAUAUUGCACAAUGGGCGCAAGCCUGAUGCAGCCAUGCCGCGUGUAUGAAGAAGGCCUUCGGGUUGUAAAAGUACUUUCAGCGGGGAGGAAGGGAGUAAAGUUAAUACCUUUGCUCAUUGACGUUACCCGCAGAAGAAGCACCGGCUAACUCCGUGCCAGCAGCCGCGGUAAUACGGAGGGUGCAAGCGUUAAUCGGAAUUACUGGGCGUAAAGCGCACGCAGGCGGUUUGUUAAGUCAGAUGUGAAAUCCCCCGGGCUCAACCCGGGAACUGCAUCUGAUACUGGCAAGCUUGAGUCUCGUAGAGGGGGGUAGAAUUCCGGGUGUAGCGGUGAAAUGCGUAGAGAUCUGGAGGAAUACCGGUGGCGAAGGCGGCCCCCCGGACGAAGACUGACGCUCAGGUGCGAAAGCGUGGGGGAGCAAACAGGAUUAGAUACCCCGGUAGUCCACGCCGUAAACGAUGUCGACUUGGAGGUUGUGCCCUUGAGGCGUGGCUUCCGGAGCUAACGCGUUAAGUCGACCGCCCGGGAGUACGGCCGCAAGGUUAAAACUCAAAUGAAUUGACGGGGGCCCGCACAAGCGGUGGAGCAUGUGGUUUAAUUCGAUGCAACGCGAAGAACCUUACCUGGUCUUGACAUCCACGGAAGUUUUCAGAGAUGAGAAUGUGCCUUCGGGAACCGUGAGACAGGUGCUGCAUGGCUGUCGUCAGCUCGUGUUGUGAAAUGUUGGGUUAAGUCCCGCAACGAGCGCAACCCCUUUAUCCUUUGUUGCCAGCGGUCCGGCCGGGAACUCAAAGGAGACUGCCAGUGAUAAACUGGAGGAAGGUGGGGAUGACGUCAAGUCAUCAUGGCCCUUACGACCAGUGGCUACACACGUGCUACAAUGGCGCAUACAAAGAGAAGCGACCUCGCGAGAGCAAGCGGACCUCAUAAAGUGCGUCGUAGUCCGGAUUGAGUCUGCAACUCGACUCCAUGAAGUCGGAAUCGCUAGUAAUCGUGGAUCAGAAUGCCACGGUGAAUACGUUCCCGGGCCUUGUACACACCGCCCGUCACACCAUGGGAGUGGGUUGCAAAAGAAGUAGGUAGCUUAACCUUCGGGAGGGCGCUUACCACUUUGUGAUUCAUGACUGGGGGUGAAGUCGUAACAAGGUAACCGUAGGGGGAACCUGCAGGUUGGAUCACCUCCUUACCUUAAAGAAGC
Molecule: ribosomal RNA, 1564 nt
Filed under: Escherichia coli
Lineage: Bacteria; Pseudomonadati; Pseudomonadota; Gammaproteobacteria; Enterobacterales; Enterobacteriaceae
Description: bacterial SSU rRNA
Rfam family: Bacterial small subunit ribosomal RNA
Source: RNAcentral